This 524-nucleotide ribosomal RNA is filed under the name uncultured bacterium. RNAcentral describes it as "partial 16S ribosomal RNA". It matches the Rfam family "Bacterial small subunit ribosomal RNA", at positions 28 to 523 of the family's 1533-position model. The record is from RNAcentral.
GACGAACGCUGGCGGCGUGCCUAAUACAUGCAAGUCGAGCGCAGGAAACUGACGGAACUCUUCGGAGGGAAGGCAGCGGAAUGAGCGGCGGACGGGCGAGUAACACGUAAGGAACCUGCCUCAAGGAUUGGGAUAACUCCGAGAAAUCGGAGCUAAUACCGGAUAGUUCAACGGACCGCAUGGUCCGCUGAUGAAAGGCGCUCCGGCGUCACCUUGAGAUGGCCUUGCGGUGCAUUAGCUAGUUGGUGGGGUAACGGCCCACCAAGGAGACGAUGCAUAGGCGACCUGAGAGGGUGAUCGGCCACACUGGGACUGAGACACGGCCCAGACUCCUACGGGAGGCAGCAGUAGGGAAUCUUCCACAAUGGACGAAAGUCUGAUGGAGCAACGCCGCGUGAGUGAUGAGGGUUUUCGGAUCGUAAAACUCUGAUGUAAGGGAAGAACACGUACGAGAGGAAAUGCUCGUACCUUGACGGUACCUUACGAGAAAGCCACGGCUAACUACGUGCCAGCCGCCGCUGUAA